Molecule: ribosomal RNA, 119 nt
Filed under: Arabis alpina (gray rockcress)
Lineage: Eukaryota; Viridiplantae; Streptophyta; Magnoliopsida; Brassicales; Brassicaceae
Description: rRNA ENSRNAG00050208415
Source: RNAcentral
GGUAGGCAACACGAGGACUUCCCAGGAGGUCACCCAUCCUAGUACUACUCUCGCCCAAGCACGCUUCACUGCGAAGUUCUGAUGGGAUCCGGUGCAUUAGUGCUGGUAUGAUCGCACCC